This 7221-nucleotide long non-coding RNA is filed under the name Musa acuminata (dwarf banana). RNAcentral's name for it is "long non-coding RNA (MACU_LNC009583)". The record is from RNAcentral. Lineage: Eukaryota; Viridiplantae; Streptophyta; Magnoliopsida; Zingiberales; Musaceae.
GUAAGCAUCGUUUGAUAUGUUAACUAUUGACUAGUUUAACCAAUUAGGUUAGACCAGGCUCUUUUAAUAUCUCGAAAGUUAUGAAACACAUCUCAUGUAUAUGUAUGAGCUGCAUCCAUUAUCCAUGCCAUCACCAAUAACAACAAAGCCGUAAGGCAUUAUCAACAUUACUAAUAAGAAAACAGUUAGAGGGAAUGGUGCCUAUAGUUGCAUUCUUCAUCAUCCAGAACAUAAAUGAGAUCCAAACUCAAGGUACAUGCUUGUCACCUGUAUAGUAAAUUAGCUUGCUAAAACUUUCUUUUAAAGAUUACUAAAUUGUGAAGAUAAAUAUAGUUUUUUUUUAUGCAAUUCAACUCAAAGGGUUUGAGUGAGUCAAGCCUAUGUUGAGUAGUGGCAAGUUGAACAGAUCCAAGUCAUUUUUCUAAGCUUUUGGUAUUUUGUUCUGAUUUUUUAUUUCAUCGUUAGAGAAGUUGUCGUUAGAAAAAGUUGUAAAGUGACAAUUUUUUUUGGAGUUCUACUAGGAAAAAGGUAUAGAGUCCAAGGAUGUGUCUAGAUUCAUCAUGUUUAAUGUCUUAGUGAGAAAGUUCACCAUAGCAGAAAAUGAUAGACCUAAGUUGUACUCAUCUUUUCCUAUCGAUUUCUAGCAAACAAAACAUCUCCAAUGCUGGAUUUCUUUCACUGGACAGAACUGAAAAUUGCAUUCAUUCUUUACAAUAUUGGCCUGUAAAUUGGGACCUAUGAACUGAAGUAAAAUUGAAUGUUUUCCUGGCCCUAAUAGUAAUGCCUUAGUUUCUGACAAAUUUCUAAGCUGGAAUCAGUCAUGAGUGGUCAGAUUAUUUGGGUGCAGUUAUCCUGUAAGAGACAAGGUGAGCUUGUUAUUUUGAAAUUUACUCUGGUCAAGAAAGUGGAAAAUCUGUGUAGUCUCUCUGGCCAAACACCGAGUGAUGCCAGCUGUUUCUGUUGACAGCCACAUCUUCUGGAUGUCACCACCUCGUAAUUAGGCAAUUUUAAUUAUAAUUUAUCUUGUUAAAGAAAGUAAUAAAUCUGUCUAGUGACAGAUUGUUUCAGAUGGCACAAAGUGCAGGGGUAUGUGCACUUGACUUGAGCAAAUUCUUCAUAUAUUAUUAUAAUGUCACACAUUGUACGUGUGACAAGUUUUUAAAGGAGAGCAUGAUAGGACCCUAGCAGGGUUGGGUCCUACUCAACUAAGAAGCAGCUAAUAAAAACCCUGUGAGAUUGUAAUAAACCCCACCUAGCCGCCUCUAUCCUAUAAAGAAGAGUGGCUAGGGUUUAUUUUGGGCCUUUGGGCUUCCUAGCCACCGCCCCCCUUUUACUGGGCUGGUCGACUAGGAUUGAGGGUAAAAGGGGUAACUCACUUAGGAAGCAGCCCCUAGGGCUAGGGUUUGGAGCCCUAUAUAAGCAUGUAGCCUCCAUCUCUUUGGGAACAAGAUUUAUCUACAAUUGCAGCCAUUUGGCUGACUUCUAGGAGGGUGGAACCCCUAUACCGUUUCAAGGGUUGAUCCCCCUCAAAGAUCAAUCUACAUAUAAUUCCUCUGGGGUUCUAUCAUCUGGUAUCAGAGUAGCGAUCUUGUUGCUUUUGCUGCCAACCCUGCCGCCCACUACCAGCCAAGCAAUUCCCACAAUUGCUCUUGACGUCGUCAUCUCCAUCAUCAUCUUCUGCUGUAGAUCAAAUCAAUCUACUGCCGUCACCUCCAAUUGCAUCAGAGAUGUGUUAUUCUCCUAUCACCAAUAACUUUUGUUGUUGUAAUUUUCCAUUCAAAAUACCAAGAAGUCUUUUUAUCUAUCCCGUGCUGCGAAUUCCUUUCGUCGUAAAAGUUAUCAUCUUUGUGAACGAAGGAUUGCUGCAGAAAAUUUUAGUCGCAUAUUGUUGCCUUUAACCGAUCUAUUUGCUAUCCUUUUUGAACGAAAUUUCUUAUACGCUUCAUAGAUCGUCUUGGCUUUCAUCUAAGAGUGAUCUAUUGAGGAAUUCAUCUCUAAAACGUUCUUGUAUUGUUGCAAAUUUUCGUUGCAAACCGUUGGAAUUUUUCAACAAGAAUUUUGCUAUCGCAACUUGCACCGAUUUCCUUGCUGUUAUACUGCCAAAAUCUUCUUGAUCAAAUUUGUCAUCAUUGUUGUUAUCUAAAUUGAGAUUUUGUUGUUAAAUUCCCUCCUCAAAUCUCUCAAUUUUAGCUGAAAAUUUCGUUGUGAAACCGUUGUUUCUUCGAUGACAAUUCUACUCUUACAUACACCAAUCCACCAACCCUUUCGGCCACCACUUCUCUCAACUGAUACAUGCCUCUAACCCGACAACAAAAGAGAGAUCUUAACGUUACAAAUUUGGAGGCAUAUACUAUGACAUCUGAGGAGACAAUCAAUGCUAAAUUUGAAGCUUUCGAGACGCGAAUGAAGGAUAAGAUUCAGACUCUCUUUACCAAACUCAAUUUGGGCCAACCACCGAGCCUGAAGAAAUCACAUCAAGGAGUGAGCUCUGACCGAAGAUAUGACUUCCAGGAGAGGGGAGGCUCUGUGAUCGAUCCCUAUUAUCCACGCAUAAGGGUGGACUUCCCUAGAUAGGAAGAAGGAGACCCGAUUGGUUGGAUCUCGCGCGCGGAACGAUAUUUUCAGUACCAUAAAACCAUGGACGCAUCUAUGGUGGAAAUUGCGGCUAUACAUCUUUAAGGGGAUGCCAUAUAAUGGUUUGAUUGGUUUGAACACACUUAUUGAGUCCUCUUAUGGCGACAAUUCAAAGAAGGAGUGCUGAUCCGCUUCGGACCAACCGAUUACGAGAACAUUGACGGACAACUAGUAAAGAUCCGACAAACCUCCACCAUUCAGGAGUACCAAACCAAGUUUGAAAGGUUAUCUAAUCAAACUCGUGAUUGGUCUGAAAAACAACUAUUGGGAACCUUUAUUGAGGGCUUAAAGCCGGAGAUCUAGGGAGAAGUUAAAGCGCGACAACCGUACACGCUUAUGGCAGCCAUCACUUUUGCACGAUUUCAAGAUGAGUGAUUGAACCAUAUAACCCGGAGGACUAGGGUCACUCCUCGACCAGCAAUACUGAAGCCCUCAGCCCCCCCUAUUGUCAACCGAGCCCCUGCACCAAAAAAGUUGAUAAGAGAAGAGCUUCGGGAGCGAUCUGCGAUGGGGUUAUGUUGGCAUUGCGACGAGCCGUGGAGCCGCGAGCAUUGUUGUUAAAAAGGGAGACUUCUUGUGAUUGAACCAGUAGAAGAAGAGGUCAUUGAACAUCCAAAAGAGAGCCUUGAACAUAAAGAAGAAGAUGCGUAAGAAGAGCCACAAUCGAUCGACUUUAUGGUACACGCGCUAGCUGGCUACUCAAACUCGCAAACGAUGAAAGUUGGAGGCCUUCUCAAACAACAAUCGAUCACUGUUCUCAUCGACACGGGCAGCACUAAUAACUUCAUAAACAGUAAGGUUGCUGCUCAGAUGGCGCUCCACAUCGAAGGUUGCAACAAGUUCGACGUAAAGGUCAUUGACGGCAGAAUCCUAAAGUGCGAUCAAAUAUGCCCGCUGGUGAAACUAUUACUAUAAGACCAAGAAAUUGUCUUCGACUUCUUCCUCCUACCAAUUGAUGAUUAUGAGGUCGUGCUUGACAUAGAAUGGCUGGCAACGCUAGGUGAUGUCUCUUGGAACUUUUCCAAAUUAAUUAUGAAAUUAUACUGCAAAGGCAAACAUAUUAUCCUAUGCGGGAAGCGCGGAAGGAAUGUAACCACCGUUUCGACCCAACGAAUGGAGAAAGUUCUACACAAGGUAAAUGGUGACAUUUUGAUGCAUCUCCAGUGACAACUAGAGGGGAAGAAAAUAUAAAUUGAAGAUCAAAAUCUUGGCCAAUUGCUUGCUGAAUUUGUUGACAUUUUUGUUGAACCUCGCGGUCUUCCUCCUACUCAGCAACAUGGCCAUCAGAUUCCAAUUCUUCCGGGCAAACCACCAGCAAACACUCGGUCGUACCAUUAUCCUCACCUCAAGAAGGAUGAAAUUGAAAAUAUUGUAAAGGAGAUGCUCGAAACAGGGGUGAUUCGGCCAAGUUGCAGCCCCUAUUCCUCACCGGUGCUACUUGUACGUAAGAAGGACAGAACUUGGUGGAUGUACAUCGACUACCAAGCUUUAAAUGACAUCACCAUCAAGGACAAGUACCUAAUAUCGUGGAUGAACUUCUUGACGAGUUAAAAGGAGCUAGAGUCUUCACGAAGUUGGAUCUCCGAUCCGAUUACCAUCAAAUUCGGGUAUAUGAAGACGACAUUCCAAAAUUGCAUUCCGCACACAUAACAACCAUUAUGAAUUCUUGGUAAUGCCUUUUGGAGUCACUAAUGCUCCUUCAACUUCCUAAAGUCUCAUAAAUGAUAUUUUUCGGAGCUUUCAUCGCAAAUUCGUGCUGGUAUUUUUCGAUGAUAUUCUCAUUUAUAACCCUUCUUUUGAGACUCACUUUCGGCAUUUACGGGUUGUUUUGACGAUCCUUCAGGAGAAUAUUCUUUUCGUUAAGUAAUCAAAGUGCAGCUUUCUCCAGCAAAAAUUAGAGUACCUUGGGCACAUAAUAUCAGAAGUAGCGGUAGACCCAACAAAAAUCGAAGCAAUGCAAGGCUGUCCGAAACCUACAAACGUGAAAUUACUGCACGGGUUCUUUGGAAUAACGGGUUACUACCGAAAAUUUAUGAAGGACUAUGAGAAGAUCAGUGCACCCUUCACUUCUCCACUGAAAAAAGACUCCUUCCAAUGGUCGGAUAAAGCCUCUACUGCCUUAGACAAACUUAAGGUAGCCAUGACGACGACGCCGGUGCUAGCGCUAUCAAAUUUCAGCCGACCCUUCAUCAUUGAGGCCGAUGCAUCUGGAGUUGGGAUUGGAGCCGUUCUCAUGCAAGAUGGUCGACCACUUGUAUACACCAGCAAGGUGUUGUCUCCCUCCCAUAAAAAAUGUCAAUAUAUGAUAAGGAGAUGCUCGCCUUUGUGCACGCAGUAACGAGGUGGAGACCCUACCUGAUCUGCCGGCGAUUUUAAAUUAAAACCGACCAUAGAAGCCUCAAGUACCUUUUGGAGCAGAAGAUAUCAUCACCUGAGCAGCAAAAAUGGGUAACCAAACUUCUAGGAUUUAAUUUGAAAUCCUAUUAUGUAGAUGCACUCAGCAAAAAUGGGUAACCAAAUCUCAAGUACCUAUUAUGAAAUUAUUUACAAAAAAGGGAAUGAAAACGUUAUUGUAGAUGCACUCUCACGGCUACUUGAGCAAACUGAAUUUUCAGCCAUCUCCCUUCCUACCACUAGCUUCUUCGAGGACAUUAGGGAGGAAUGGAAGAAGGAUCGCCCACUAUACUUAAGAUUCGAGGGAUCUACGUUACAAAGGUCGCAUUGUGCUUGUACCCGACUCCCCUUGCAUCAAAAUCAUCCUGUACGAAAUACACUCCACAUCUUCAGUAGGGCACUUCGGAUUUCUAAGAACCUACAAAAGAGUGAAGCAAAAUUUUUAUUGGAAAGUGAUGAAAAAAAUUAUUUUUGAUUAUGUGGCACAAUGUGAUGUAUGUCAACAACAAAAGGGUGAAACAGUGGUGAGUCCAAGGAAGCUACAACCACUAUCCAUACUGGACUCGAUGUGGACUGACAUAUCCAUGGACUUUAUCAAAGGGUUGCCAUCUUCCAAAGGUAAAAACACAAUCCUCGUGGUGGUUGAUUGACUUACGAAAUAUGCUCAUUUUUGUGCUGUGCGAAAUCCCUACAUUGCUGCUAGUAUUGCUUAGAUUUUCAUAGAAAAUAUUGUUAAACUGCAUGGGAUGCCAAGGUCCAUUAUAAGUGAUUGUGACAGGAUCUUCACCAGUAAAUUUUGGAUCGAGUUAUUUCAGUUACAAUGCACCAAACUCAAGAUGAGCACAACAUAUCAUCCACAAAUUGACGGCCAAACAGAGGUGGUGAACAUGUGUUUAGAGACAUACCUUCGGUGUUUCGCUAGUGACCGACCAAAGGAGUGGGCGAAAUGGCUUCCUUGGGCCGAAUGGUGGUAUAAUACUACAUAUUAUUCAUCUACAAAAUGUGCCCCAUAUGAAGCACUGUAUGGUUGGCCGACCCUUGUGAUUUCAAAGUAUGUAAUUAGCUCGGCCAAGGUAGAUUAGGUCGACCAAGAUUUAAUUGACAGGGACAAACUCCUACAGCUGCUAAAGGAUAAUCUCUCUACCGCUCAAGCUAGAAUGAAGCAGUAAGCCGACACACGAUGAAGCGAAAGAGAGUUUUCAGUAGGAGAUUGGGUCUAUCUUUGCCUACAGCCAUACAAGCAACUCUCCAUCAACACAUGAGCCUCCAUGAAGCUAUCCCCAUGUUUUUAUGGGCCCUAUCAAAUCACAGAGCAUACUGGAGUCGUGGCGUACAAACUUAAAUUGCUUGAGGAUGCCAAAAUUCACCUUUUCUUCCACGUGUCAUGCUUGAACACGAGUUACCCCAGAUCCAACUGCCAAACACCACUGAUGAUGGAGAUAUUUAAGCCUAACCACAAGUCAUCCUCGACCGUAGAAUCAUGAUGCGUCGUCGACGUCCCUCUACUGAAGUACUAGUGCAUUGGAAUAAUUUAUUACUCGAAGAUGCCAUAUGAGAAUCAUAUGAGGAGCUGAAGACCCGGUUCCCUGAGUUCAUGGAACCUCAGCUUUGAGGACAAGGUUGAUUUUGAGAGGACGGGCUUGAUAGGACCUUAGUAGGGUUGGGUCCUACUCAACCAAGAAGCAGCUAAUAAAAACCCUGUGAGAUUGUAAUAAACCCCACCUAGUCGUCUCUAUCCUAUAAAGGAGAGUAGCUAGGGUUUAUAUUUGCGCCUUUGGGCUUCCUAGCCAUCGCCCCCCCUUUACUGGGCCGGUCGACUAGGGUUGAGGGCAAAAGGGGUAACUCACUUAGGAAACAACCCCUAGGGCUAGGGUUUGGAGCCCUAUAUAAGCAUGUAGCCUCAUCUCUUUGGGAACAAGAUCUAUCUAUAAUUGCAGCCAUUUGACCGACUUCUAGGAGGGUGGAACCCCUAUAGCGUUCCAAGGGUUGAUCCCCCUCAAAGAUCAAUCUACAUAAAAUUCCUCUAGGGUUCUAUCGGAGCAUCUGCUAGACAUUAAUCAAAUAAGAUCAGUUAUACAUGUCAACCAUUUGUGGACAGUGGAUAUGACUUGCCAGAAGAGUACCUUCAUGAACCCUGUUAUUACUUGCAAUCACACAGUUUGGUAGUUCAGCUUAGCCAUUUGUGUUUACAGU